UCGAACAAGGUCUCCGUUGGUGAACCAGCGGAGGGAUCAUUACCGAGUUUACAACUCCCAAACCCAAUGUGAACGUUACCAAACUGUUGCCUCGGCGGGAUCUCUGCCCCGGGUGCGUCGCAGCCCCGGACCAAGGCGCCCGCCGGAGGACCAACCAAAACUCUUUUGUAUACCCCCUCGCGGGUUUUUAUAUCUGAGCCAUCUCGGCGCCUCUCGUAGGCGUUUCGAAAAUGAAUCAAAACUUUCAACAACGGAUCUCUUGGUUCUGGCAUCGAUGAAGAACGCAGCGAAAUGCGAUAAGUAAUGUGAAUUGCAGAAUUCAGUGAAUCAUCGAAUCUUUGAACGCACAUUGCGCCCGCCAGUAUUCUGGCGGGCAUGCCUGUCCGAGCGUCAUUUCAACCCUCGAACCCCUCCGGGGGGUCGGCGUUGGGGAUCGGCCCUUUACGGGGCCGGCCCCGAAAUACAGUGGCGGUCUCGCCGCAGCCUCUCCUGCGCAGUAGUUUGCACACUCGCAUCGGGAGCGCGGCGCGUCCAUUGCCGUAAAACACCCAACUUUCUGAAAUGUGGACUCGGAUCAGGAGAAACCCGUGAUUA
Molecule: ribosomal RNA, 594 nt
Filed under: Trichoderma cf. spirale 66C
Lineage: Eukaryota; Fungi; Ascomycota; Sordariomycetes; Hypocreales; Hypocreaceae
Description: partial 18S ribosomal RNA
Rfam family: 5.8S ribosomal RNA (bases 240-393)
Source: RNAcentral